AUUGAACGCUGGCGGAAUGCUUUACACAUGCAAGUCGAACGGUAGAGGGGGCAACCCCUCGAGAGUGGCGAACGGGUGAGUAAUAUAUCGGAACGUGCCCAGCCGUGGGGGAUAACGUAGCGAAAGUUACGCUAAUACCGCAUACGAUCUAAGGAUGAAAGCGGGGGAUCGCAAGACCUCGCGCGAUUGGAGCGGCCGAUAUCAGAUUUGGUAGUUGGUGGGGUAAAGGCUCACCAAGCCAACGAUCUGUAGCUGGUCUGAGAGGACGACCAGCCACACUGGAACUGAGACACGGUCCAGACGCCUACGGGAGGCAGCAGUGGGGAAUUUUGGACAAUGGACGCAAGUCUGAUCCAGCCAUUCCGCGUGCAGGAUGAAGGCCCUCGGGUUGUAAACUGCUUUUGUACGGAACGAAAAGGUCUCUCUUAAUACGGGGGACUCAUGACGGUACCGUAAGAAUAAGCACCGGCUAACUAUGUGCCAGCCGCCGCCGUAA
Molecule: ribosomal RNA, 496 nt
Filed under: uncultured bacterium
Lineage: Bacteria
Description: partial 16S ribosomal RNA
Rfam family: Bacterial small subunit ribosomal RNA
Source: RNAcentral